Long non-coding RNA from Limulus polyphemus (Atlantic horseshoe crab), 3446 nucleotides. RefSeq lists it as uncharacterized. The transcript has 3 exons. The record is from RefSeq and is a predicted model, not a curated record. Lineage: Eukaryota; Metazoa; Arthropoda; Merostomata; Xiphosura; Limulidae.
UUUCUGAUGCCGAACUAUCACUGAUUCACUGAGCACUCAAAGAAAAAUGGUGAUUGUUUAGUCGAGUAUUUUGUACGGAGAAAGCCAAAUAGAAUAUUAGAUGUUUUGAAUUAUGUUACCUAGAGUAGUACAGCUACAAGUUUUAAGUAUUGCAAGGUUGCAGAUAUUGUUUUCAACAUUUUGUAGCCCAUUGCUCGUCGUGACACGUUUAUUCAACUCGGCUUCAACUAGCAUUACAUUUUAUUUUUAAUUUUAGUUUUACAUUUAUAAUUGAAAUUUGAAACGUUGUUCCAACAUCAAACUAAAGUUCAACUUGAUAUAAAAGUGCAACUUGCGUGGCCAACUUGACGUUAGAAAUUCUUGAACUUGUGGAAACGUAAAUUAUAACGAAAUAAAAUUAAAAAUUUCUUUAUGGAUGAGAAUCUGAACAAGUGAGUUUGUGUAACUGUAAGAAGUAGAAGAAAUCCUCAGUGAGAAAACCUAAAACUGUAUUUCAUAAGGUUAAGUCUUCAAAUAUGAGUUUGCGAGUAAUUUUCUGGAAAUGUAACGUUGCAAAGGAAGAAGAGUGGCAAAUUUUCUUUCCCCAUUAACACAAGUAUGGAAUUCUCCUUCAACUUGAAAAACUUUGGGCAACUAGUGCUCUACAACGAUUUCUGUUACUUAUGAAUACAAGAAAGUCUCAAGUUGAUGUACACAUUGCAAGAUCAGCCCUAGACAACACACAGUUAGGCACUAGUAGCAGUCAGAGUAAAGAAUGGACUGAGCAAGCAAAGUUUCAUUCUUGUAGUUUUUGUCACAAGAAAUAUAAUUACAGAGAUGCAUUACUUUUUCAUUUGCUCACUGUACACAAACAAGCACUUGACAAAUAAACCUUUGCAGUUGAUGUAUAUUAGUAAAAUUUUAUGAUAUAUUAUUUUAUUUUUGCUCAUUACUUCAAGGUAUGUAGCUUGAAUAUGAAGAUAACUUACACAUGUACGUGUAUAUUCUGCAAUAAAAUUUAAAAAAAUGUAUUUGUAAGACGUUACAUCUUCAUAUAUUUCUAUACAGGAUUCCAUGUACUUUAUUCCAGUAGUUCCGUUUUCUUUUAAAUUUAUUUUUUAAUCAUUUUCAGAUACAUUGGGUCUGUGUUUAAAGUACUGUUUGAGAGUUGUAAUCUCCUAAGAAACUUUUAAGUAGCAAAAAGAGUAAAAAUCUUGGAAUUUGAUACUUAAGUACAAGCUCACGUUCUGAAAGGAUUUAUUGUAAUUGUUGGACAGGUUUACUUUGCAAAGAGUAAGUGUCAUUAGUGAAACAGGUAUUUACAGAAUUUUUUGGAAAGAUACAUGAAUUUGUGUUGUUAUAUUUUAGUGAAUGGUUGGUAUUACUGCUGGACUAAGUUGUAAGUUUUUAUUGUUUUUUAACAUGCUGAAAGUUAAUGGAAUUUAAUGUGGUUUAGUUGUGUAGAUCUCUGAAUGUGGAUCAAAAGCUUCACUGAUUUUAAAAUCAAUCCAGUGAACUUACAUAUUCAGAAUGAAGAUUAACAAAAUUACAGACCUCUUGAAUACAUAAUAUCAGGGUUUUAAUAAAUAACUGGUUUUUCAGAACUGAAUACAUUAUAAAAAGUUAAUAGAAUUGUGUAACUUAAAAGUUUACAAUCCUAGAAUAUAUAUAUAUAGCACAAGCUUAUUAAGGAACUGAGCAUACAGCAGACAGGUUUAAGAAAUGUAAAUAGAGAAAAAACGUUUCUAAAACUAUGAAAUUAGCACAGUUUUACAGACUUUCUUGUAUAGCUUUAUAAUAUAUAAUAUUUGUGGUAUCAGGAAUAGAGUACAGAAAACUUACAAAACUGUUAGUUGCACACGUAUACAGCUGUAGUACGGAAGAUUUACAGAAUAUAAGUACACUUGUAUCAGGUAUUUUACAGAACUGACGAGUAUAUUACAGAAACUUUACAAGAAAUGAGAAUGUUGUACAAACUGUUUAUAGAAUUUUUAAGUAAGAUUAUAUAUCUUUGAAUAUGGUAUGGAAAGUCACAUAAUUGUAUGGGUUACAAGUUACAAACUGAGUAAAGAUAGGCUGAAAAUACUGGGAAUACUGUAAAGAAACUGUUAUAAUUUUAAAUAUAGCACAACUUCAUAGAAUCAUAAUACAAAACUUUUACAGAAUAUGAGAAUGGCACAGAACUCUGAAUAGAAUACAGAAGAUUAGGAAACCAUUUAGUAUAUUUAAGAAAGGUUAGAGGAUUGAAAAUGAUGCAGGAAGUUUGCAAAUAUUUUAUAGAUUUAUGAAAAUGUCUACAUUUGAUCUGUUGUAGGAUAAAAAUGACUAUUUCAGGUAUUCUAAAUGUUUAAUUACAAUCACGUAUCCAUGUAUAUUUGUAUGUAUGAUAAGGGGAGAAGUGUGCUAAUCAAAGUUAAAAUUUUAGUGGUUUGGUGUUACUUUUCAGUGCAACUAUAAACUUAAAUCCUUAUUAAUAGAAUAAUAUAUUUUGAUUUUAUGUUUGCAUUUUCUUUUCUUAAGUAUCCUAAAACUGCCAAAGAAUAUCCUAUAGUUUUUCAUUUAAUUUUACAGGUAAAAAAAAAGAUUUUUUGAAGAUCAAAAAGUAGUUCCAAGGGAAGAUAGCAAGCUAAAAUUUGGUUUAUUAGCAUUUGUACAAAAAGUGGUCUUUUGUAAAGUGAGAGUGGCCAAAAUGUUGGUCAGUAAAUGUUAGACCCAGAUAAGUUUUUUGAGAUAGAAUGAUUAAAGUGUUGGCUAGUUACCAUUAGACUCAUAUAUGUGGUAGAGUUACAUUAGAAUAUUAGCCAAUUAUACAAAAGGAUCGUAGUAGUAGUAUUUGAUAAAGAUAGUAUGACCAAAAUACCUAUUAGUUAGAUCUCAUUAAUGGUGCUUAUUAGAAAUAGUAUAAUUAAAUUUUCAAGUAAUGAAUCUUGAUUAUAAGAGUGCUAAAAAGUUAAACUGGAUAACAUGUCACAAUUUGUUUUUUUUCCAUUCUGCAUAAUUUUUUGAGGAUAUUCAGUUUCCUACUAACUAUUUGAGGGGAAACAACAAGCAUCGUGUUACACAUAAAGGGAACUUGUUGUUUACAAAAAAUCAGCUUUUAAAAAUGCAAUACUUAAGUAAUAUAAAUUUAACAGCUAAAACAACUAGUCACUUGUUAUAAACUAUUGAAGGCAAAUUGUCUUUUGACUCUUGAAAAUGUAAUUUUGUAUGAUUUAUGUUUAAAUGAAUUCUGUGUUACAAGUUGCACUGAUUUGAAACUUGUUUUAUGUUUAGUUAAUUUUUUCCCCUUUUUAGACAUACAGGGUGAGUGAAUACAAGCACGUCAUCAUACUAGAUCUUAAAAGAAAUCUUAAAAACUUACCCAAAAGAUCAGAGAGGGUAGAUUUUUAAUACACUAUUUCUUUGAUGUUUGUGUGCAUCAUUAAAAUAAGAAUUUCUGUGUAUAUGUAAUGUAUGGAUGAGUUAAG